Molecule: long non-coding RNA, 1036 nt
Filed under: Anas platyrhynchos platyrhynchos (common mallard)
Lineage: Eukaryota; Metazoa; Chordata; Aves; Anseriformes; Anatidae
Description: lncRNA (ENSAPLG00000022012.1)
Source: RNAcentral
CACCUAUGAUAUUCUCUUUAGAGUUGUGCUCCAAGUCCUUGCCUACAUGUAGUGCACAGCUUUUAUUCCCAUUAGUGAAGUCAUGGAAAAAUCACAGCAAAAGAAAGGAGGCUGGUUGUCUGCUUCAGGACUGCAUGAAGAAGUGCAACAACUAUGUACACGUCUUUACUUUUAUUUUUUUCUUGUGAGUUUCCCUUCCCCUAAUGAACACACGCUGUUUGCUUGAACCCCGGAGUACUUGGUUGUGCAGAUACAAUCUGUAAAAUUUGUCUGUAAUGGGUACAUGCCUUCCCAUAGAAGGGGAACAAGGGACAUAAGGACACAGUCUGGACUGGAACUUUAAAUUCUCCAAAUUUCCUUUGUGCUCUUGCAGGAGAGGAACGAGGGCCAUGAUGGAGUGGUGAGGGUAUCGAAAGGAAGCGGUGGUAUUUCCAUCGGCACGCUGCUAUGGCUGCAGAGAGAGCAUGAUGCUCGGCUCCGCUCAGGCAGAGCUGGAGGCGCCUCUCACCAGCAACCACCCAGACGAGAUAAAGCAAGCAGCAGUGAGCACGCAGGCAGCUUUCUGCAUGUAUUCAUUUCCAGCUGAUCAAAAUCCCGGCAGUGAAAUGAAAGCAAGAGCACACGCUGAAAAUGGAAACCCUGCCCCGAGAAGGUAGACUGGCCUCCAGAGCAGUCUUUGGCAUUUGAAUACUUGUUAUAUUGCAAGGAGGCGGUGUCGGACCCGCAGUUACAGGGCUCUAUCUAUCCUCUGCUCGUCUCCCAGUCUCGCCCCGGUGAGUUUGCCGUGGCAGCAUCGCCCCAGAUGCUGCUGCAGAGAUGACAUGCCAGCCGCAGGGCUUGCGGGAAGUUUAAGAGUAUUUUAAAUAAUGCGGGCUGCUUGGUUAGCUGGGCGAGCCUCCCGCUGCCAUGCAUGGCAAACACACUCCAUUUUUUUUUGGCUUCGAGUGCACUUUGCGUGUCGUCAAUGCAAAAAAUUAAGUGGGUGCAAUAUGUCAUAAAGAUAGACUCUCCUACCCCCAAAAACACACCCAAAAAA